This 87-nucleotide ribosomal RNA is filed under the name Bacillus atrophaeus UCMB-5137. Lineage: Bacteria; Bacillati; Bacillota; Bacilli; Caryophanales; Bacillaceae. The record is from RNAcentral.
CCGUUCCCAUACCGAACACGGUAGUUAAGCUCUUCAGCGCCGAUGGUAGUCGGGGGCUUCCCCCUGUGAGAGUAGGACAUCGCCAGG